UACGUAGGGUGCGAGCGUUAAUCGGAAUUACUGGGCGUAAAGUGUGCGCAGGCGGCCGAGCAAGUCGAGUGUGAAAGCCCCGAGCUUAACUUGGGAAUUGCGCUCGAAACUACUUGGCUGGAGUGUGGCAGAGGAAGGUGGAAUUCCAGGUGUAGCGGUGAAAUGCGUAGAGAUCUGGAGGAACACCGGUGGCGAAGGCGGCAUCCUGGACCGGCAUUGACGCUGAGGCGCGAAAGCUAGGGGAGCAAACGGG
This 253-nucleotide ribosomal RNA is filed under the name uncultured bacterium. RNAcentral's name for it is "partial 16S ribosomal RNA". It matches the Rfam family "Bacterial small subunit ribosomal RNA", at positions 524 to 776 of the family's 1533-position model. The record is from RNAcentral.